AAACACACCUUUCGGAAAGUCAAAUGUAUGUGUAUUGAAAAAGAGGAAGGCCGGGAAAAGACUAAGACGCGGCGUGGAUCUGCUCCCUUUUAUUUUGUGUUAGAAAGAUCAGAUUUUAUUCUCAGGAGAUCCAAUUUAUUAGGCUUUAAUUCAGAAUUACACAAUUUAUUGAAAUGUUUGUUGUGACAUAGAUUUUAAAUUUUCACUAACUUUGUUAAUCUCUAUUUGCUGACGUGCACAUUCAAAGUUGACAUGCAGAUAAAAAUAUUUCAAAACAACUUACGUACCCUUCAAAGUAAUCAUAUUUAAUUCUAAAACACAGUAUAAAGAAAAAAUAAAAAAAUAAAAAAAUUAUUCUCUCUCGGCCGGCCAGCUUCUCCCACCACUCAACUUCUUCACCUCCUACGCCUCUAUCCACUCCGUCCUCGUCCUCCGCUCCGUCCUGAUCGGAUUUCUUUCCGUCUUCGUAUCAGCCGGUAGGCCCUAUAAGACUCUCUACAUUUCCUCCUAC
This 511-nucleotide long non-coding RNA is filed under the name Linum usitatissimum (flax). RNAcentral's name for it is "long non-coding RNA (LUSI_LNC002766)". Lineage: Eukaryota; Viridiplantae; Streptophyta; Magnoliopsida; Malpighiales; Linaceae. The record is from RNAcentral.